RNAcentral lists this transfer RNA (76 nucleotides) under Acidobacteriota bacterium. Its description in RNAcentral is "Acidobacteria bacterium (rhizosphere metagenome) tRNA-Ala". It matches the Rfam family "tRNA". Rfam says of the family: Transfer RNA (tRNA) molecules are approximately 80 nucleotides in length. Their secondary structure includes four short double-helical elements and three loops (D, anti-codon, and T loops). RNAcentral also lists the same sequence under 3 other names. The record is from RNAcentral. Lineage: Bacteria; Pseudomonadati; Acidobacteriota.
GGGGCCGUAGCUCAAUUGGGAGAGCGCCUGAAUGGCAUUCAGGAGGUCGACGGUUCGAUCCCGUUCGGCUCCACCA